AGGCGAGUAUAUUUAUGAUUUCAACUCAUUAUCAUAUUCGUCAGUUCGUUGCCAUGGCACGUUUGAGGUCGGAUGUUCCAUCCAGAACCUUCUAGAAGCUGGUGUCAGCUCCUGUUCUGAGGCAUUAUCGGGACCAGUUCCUCCUUUGAAACAAACUGAAGAACUCCAUCUUCAAACGCCUGUGCAUAAAAAGAACUAACCCCUUGGAUCCACUCCCAAAGCCACAUGCUGCGUAAAGACAGGGAAGCACCUUGCAGGGCAGGAUUCGGUCUGUACCUCUGCACCAGCCAAGCCUUUCCGAUCUCUCCCAGAGUUGCAAUGAAGUGGCUGUGGAUGGGGACACGGACAGCUGGGCGAGGUGAAAGAACAAGCAAAGAAAGGAGACAUUAAAAUUACAAAGAGAAGAACAAUGGGGAAAGGGAAGAGGUGGUUUUCCAGAAGGGGAUAUUUAAAAAGCACUUUGUUUGCAAUUUUUG
This is a non-coding RNA of Pelodiscus sinensis (Chinese soft-shelled turtle), 476 nucleotides long. NCBI's taxonomy places the organism in Eukaryota, Metazoa, Chordata, Testudines, Trionychidae. The record is from RefSeq and is a predicted model, not a curated record.